Polypterus senegalus (gray bichir) is the source of this 326-nucleotide long non-coding RNA. RefSeq lists it as uncharacterized. The transcript has 3 exons. The record is from RefSeq and is a predicted model, not a curated record. Lineage: Eukaryota; Metazoa; Chordata; Cladistia; Polypteriformes; Polypteridae.
AGGUACUUGACAGAAUCAUAUGGUACAGGCCAAGACAUUGGCGAAAGAAUAGUUGAGGCCAAUCCUUUGCUGGAAGCUUUUGGAAAUGCUAAAACAGUGCGAAACAACAACAGUAGUCGAUUUGGGAAAUUUGUAGAAAUUCAUUUUAAUGAAAAGAAUUCUGUUGUAGGAGGAUUUGUGUCACAUUAUCUUUUGGAGAAAUCCAGGAUCUGUGUGCAGAGUAAGGAAGAGCGAAACUAUCAUAUAUUUUACCGGUUAUGUGCUGGUGCUUCUGAAGAUAUUAGAGAAAAAUUUCAUUUGAACUCUCCUGAUAACUUCAGAGUAAG